RNAcentral lists this ribosomal RNA (496 nucleotides) under uncultured bacterium. RNAcentral describes it as "partial 16S ribosomal RNA". It matches the Rfam family "Bacterial small subunit ribosomal RNA", at positions 28 to 506 of the family's 1533-position model. The record is from RNAcentral.
GAUGAACGCUGGCGGCGUGCCUAAUACAUGCAAGUCGAGCGAACAGACGAGGAGCUUGCUCCUCUGACGUUAGCGGCGGACGGGUGAGUAACACGUGGAUAACCUACCUAUAAGACUGGGAUAACUUCGGGAAACCGGAGCUAAUACCGGAUAAUAUAUUGAACCGCAUGGUUCAAUAGUGAAAGACGGUUUUGCUGUCACUUAUAGAUGGAUCCGCGCCGCAUUAGCUAGUUGGUAAGGUAACGGCUUACCAAGGCAACGAUGCGUAGCCGACCUGAGAGGGUGAUCGGCCACACUGGAACUGAGACACGGUCCAGACGCCGACGGGAGGCAGCAGUAGGGAAUCUUCCGCAAUGGGCGAAAGCCUGACGGAGCAACGCCGCGUGAGUGAUGAAGGUCUUCGGAUCGUAAAACUCUGUUAUUAGGGAAGAACAAAUGUGUAAGUAACGAUGCACGUCUUGACGGUACCUAAGCAGAAAGCCACGGCUAACUACGU